Molecule: long non-coding RNA, 1602 nt
Filed under: Helianthus annuus (common sunflower)
Lineage: Eukaryota; Viridiplantae; Streptophyta; Magnoliopsida; Asterales; Asteraceae
Source: RNAcentral
AUGGGUGUCAUCGUUCUCGAUCUUUAUCCCCGGGAAUCAGCCCCUUUUCUCUCCAUAUUACGUGCUUACUUUUGUUGUAUUUGUUUUGUAUGAAUUUUUAUGUUUUUGUUGAUUGUUGAAAUUGGAGUAUAUCUCGUUUAGAUUGUGAACUAUGCUAGAAUUAGUUGAAAGUUUUGGCUAGAUUGAACUGUAAUUAUGCUGAAGAUAUUUUUAAAUGUAUGAUUUUACUGGAUUUAUAGAGGGUUUGAGGUUAGAUUAUGAAGUAACUGAGGUUGGAUUUUGAAGAUCUUUUUUGUUUUGAAGUUUUAUUUGCUCGGAUGAUUUUGCCAGUUCUAAAGAUGAUGAUUGUGUAAAAGGAUUUUGGUUUAAAUGGCGAUGAAUGAUUUUUUUUUUUUUUUUUUUUUUUGUGAAUUAACCUUGGCUCUUAUGUCAUCAAUUUACUUUAGUUCUUGGUUCAUAAUACAAAAUUCUGAACAUUUUAGUACUUGAAAGUUUGGUUUGUUAAUUGAACAAUGUGGGCUCCUCCACCGCCUCCAAUGGCUGACAACAUACGAGGAAUUCACACAGAUGAAAUCCAAAUUUGAGAAUAUUAGAGGCUUUAAAAUUGUUGUGAUGCUAUUGAUGCCACUCGUAUAUUAUGAAGUUGCCGUCAGCAACGGAUCGAACAACUAAUGUUUGGCUUGACGGAAUGAGUCAAUUGCGGUAUACUUCAUGUAUAAUGGAUCAAACGUAUGUUAGCUAAAAAGGAAAUGGGUCAAAUAGGAGAAAUGGUUUCAGUGUGGCCUUAGCCCAUUGACUCGAAACUAACUUCUGAAGCUUCUUAUUCCGGUGGCCUUUUGUCAUACCAGUAACAUAUCAUUUGUAGCCGUUACAGUCUCAUUCACCCACACAAUCAAAGCCCUUGAGCCGUUCUUCAAUGCUGUUGCUUCUCAAUUUAUUCUCGGACAGUCGAUUCCCAUAACUCUAUGGCUUUCUUUGGCUCCUGUUGUUAUUGGUGUGUCAAUGGCCUCUUUGACUGAGCUGUCAUUCAACUGGCUAGGCUUUAUCAGUGCCAUGAUUUCCAAUAUCUCUUUCACUUACACUCUUACAGGAGUAUCUACUUUAAGAAAGCAAUGGUUGUUAACGGGCUAUGGCUUAGAGCCGUGUUAGCAUGUGUUUUUGGGAGUCGUAUUUUAUACGGAGGGUAUGACUCCACCAUAUCAAAUUCUUUAACCGAGGGCUCGGUGAAAAAAACGGAUGGUGGUGGAGAAUCAUACAUGACCUCGAAAGGGCUUAUGGAAUUAUUCAAAGUGAGCCUUGAAGUUGAUAUGCAAAAAGAAAUUGAAGAGGACCAUAAAGGAAAAAAAAAAGGAAAAAAAAAGUUGAACUAUGCCUGAAGAUUUUGAUAGCCAACAAGCCAACCUAAGGCUACAAUGCUCAAUAUUGUGAAAAAGCUACAUAUCGAGUACUUUGUUUUGCAUGUAAUUGAAAACUUUAUUUUUGUUAAUUUUUUAGCAUAGUAAUUGAAAACUUUAUUUUGAUUAUGUUGUUAUUUUGAGUUUUGACAUAUGUUAAAUUACAAUAUAAGAUUAUCUAUUAUAUUUAUGUUAUCAUUGUGUUGUU